Molecule: ribosomal RNA, 301 nt
Filed under: uncultured bacterium
Lineage: Bacteria
Description: partial 16S ribosomal RNA
Rfam family: Bacterial small subunit ribosomal RNA
Source: RNAcentral
CAGCCGCCGCGGGAAUACGUAGGUGGCAAGCGUUGUCCGGAAUUAUUGGGCAUAAAGGGCUCGCAGGCGGUUUCUUAAGUCUGAUGUGAAAUCCCCGGGCUCAACCUGGGAACUGCAUUUGUGACUGGCAAGCUAGAGUCUGGCAGAGGGGGGUGGAAUUCCGCGUGUAGCAGUGAAAUGCGUAGAGAUGUGGAGGAAUACCGAUGGCGAAGGCAGCCCCCUGGGCCAAUACUGACGCUCAUGCACGAAAGCGUGGGGAGCAAACAGGAUUAGAUACCCCGGUAGUCCCUGUCUCUUAUAU